GUUUUAUUGUUACUAUUGUUAUUAUUAUUAAUGUAAUGCAUUAUCCUAAUAUUAUUACUGUUUUUAUUAUUAUUAUUAUUAUUAUUAUUAUUAUUAUUGCUCAGUAGUUGUUACAGUGUUAUUGUUCAUUAUUGGAGUGCGUUCAGCUAAUUUACAUUCAGUUGUUCAGUCAAAUACUGUGCGUCUGCACUAUAAAGGGUUUUCGCUGUGUUGUUUGUCACACCUUAGUAAUGCUAUGCUAUGCUGGGCCUAAGACGUUGCCUCUGCUAGAGGGGAAUAUGUACCCAGCGUUAGCUUAUGAUGGAAAUGCCACAUAAGAUUGUAAAAAUUGAAUCCUUCAAUAAAAGCGAAAACUUGUCCAAGGAGUCCUGUGCUAUGCAAACAUGUGCUUUACAAAUCAUCAAUGAUUGUGCAACUAAGGAGAUUUUAAAGGUUGCACUAGACCAAUUUUUGUCUCAAGUGACUAUUGUGCAACUCAAAAAGAAGCCCAAAUACGAACAGGCUGGUGUGUGCUGCAAUGACCAGCAUGUUCACUAACACAAAACUAGCAACCAGGGCAGCGAUUGAAACAAGAACAAAAGGAUAGGCCCGUUUUAGACCAAAAUAAAAUAUCUGCAAUAGUUGAGUUUGUCUGCGUUGAACAUCCAGGCAUUCAGCCAGUAGCUGUAAAAGCUAAGAUGGCUCAGAAAUGUAAAGACACAAGACGCUCCAUGUCAAAAUGAACGGAAAUGGAAACAACAUGUUUAGCAGGCACUUAAUGUGUAGUAAUUUUAUAGUAAAUAUAGUAUAGUAUUUUGUAGUAAAUUGUAUAUUUUAUUAAUAAUAUUAGUUAAUGUUAACCUAGAUAUGUGUUAUUAUUUUAAAUAUCUAUAUUUUUUUCUUUCAUUUAAAUGUUAAUUUCAUAUUCUACAACAAAAUAACUUGUCUAUGACAAAAUGAAAACAUGCUUUACCAUUAUUAAAUGUUCUCAAUUUAAGGCAACUAACAGGCCGUUCACAAUUAUCAACAUUUUCAAGUACAAGUGUACAAACAUUACUCUUUUUCGGUACCCACUCCCAUCUGAAAAUGUACAUAAAAAUUAUUGAUUUUGCAAAAGCAUUUUCAAUUUUUUUGUGAAGUCAAUUAAAAUACUGUAUUGGUUGCUUAAAAAUGUCUAUUAUAUCCAUGGUUACAUUGUGUCUGGUUAUGAAAAAUCUAUUAUUUUACAUAUUUCAUGCUAUUUUCAAUUAACAAUUUUAUGCAAAAAAAGGACAAAUGUGUCUACCCCCUAGCGAACUGUUUGUACACUUGUGAAAAUAUUGAUACUGUUAUCCUAAAUACUGUACAAUAAACUUAUUUUAAACUUAUUGCUACCUUUACUUAAUAUAUACUCUAUAUAUAAUCUUAUAAAUACAGUAUAAAUAUUUUUUAGUGGGCACUUAAUGCAAAAUCCAAAAACAGUAAUAAUACCUCACACUAAAUGCAAUACCUGAUCAUGAUAUAUCUGUAAGUAAAUUUAAGUAAAUGUUUAUUUUAUCAAUUUUAAUAUUUCGUUUGUGUAGUACAUUGACCAAAGUUUCGAGCAAAGCAAUAAUAUUCAUGUGAAACAGCUAUACCUUUGACUAAUGUAUUUUUGUGCUUUAAAAAUGUUUUUAUACAUCCAUUAUUCUUCUAACAUAUGCAAUAAUCUUAUGGUACGGCACAUAUGUGUAAGUAAAAGUUAAUAUAAUAAAUAUUUAUUUUAUCAAUUUUAA
Anneissia japonica is the source of this 1733-nucleotide long non-coding RNA. RefSeq lists it as uncharacterized. The transcript has 4 exons. Lineage: Eukaryota; Metazoa; Echinodermata; Crinoidea; Comatulida; Comatulidae. The record is from RefSeq and is a predicted model, not a curated record.